Molecule: ribosomal RNA, 301 nt
Filed under: uncultured bacterium
Lineage: Bacteria
Description: partial 16S ribosomal RNA
Rfam family: Bacterial small subunit ribosomal RNA
Source: RNAcentral
CAGCCGCCGCGGUAAUACAGAGGGUGCGAGCGUUAAUCGGAUUUACUGGGCGUAAAGCGUGCGUAGGCGGCUAAUUGAGUCGGAUGUGAAGUCCCCGAGCUUAACUUGGGAAUUGCAUUCGAUACUGGGAAGCUAGAGUAUGGGAGAGGAUGGUAGAAUUCCAGGUGUAGCGGUGAAAUGCGUAGAGAUCUGGAGGAAUACCGAUGGCGAAGGCAGCCAUCUGGCCUAAUACUGACGCUGAGGUACGAAAGCAUGGGGAGCAAACAGGAUUAGAUACCCCAGUAGUCCCUGUCUCUUAUAC